Molecule: long non-coding RNA, 1696 nt
Organism: Hirundo rustica (Barn swallow)
Lineage: Eukaryota; Metazoa; Chordata; Aves; Passeriformes; Hirundinidae
Exons: 5
Source: RefSeq, a predicted model, not a curated record
CAGUGGCCACAUGAUCAUCUGCAAAGAGGAGGAGAUUGGGGGGAGUCUCCACAAAGAUUUUGGGAGGGAGGUGUGAAGGUACCCCCAGCCCUACUCUCAGUGCCUUUCCCAGAAAAAAAAACCCCCAAGCUUCCAGUGGUGUCGCCUGCUUGGAAAAUGAGUGUGGUGGAGGUAAAUCCCUGAAGCGGGGAGGUACGAAGGGAGGUGGAUGGCUGUGGAACGGGGUGAUCUGCAGGGUCAGAGCUGUUUUGGGGCACCUCAUCACUGGGAACAGCGAGCAUGGAAACCCUGGAUGCACUGUAGAAGGGAGCCCUGAGCCAGGGUGGCUGUGAGGACUUUGGGACCCACCUGGUUCUGCAGGUAUCUUGUCUCCAGGUUAUACAGGAAAACCGCCUGCAAAGGAAGUUUUGGACAGGAUGAGCCAGUGCUGAGCUGCAGGAUGGGGACAGCCUGUCCCCGUGUGCAGGUGGCAUCCAGGGUGCCCACGGGCACUCACCGGGAGAGCAGGGAGAAAUGCAUUCACGUAGUUCUGGGUCAUCCUGGGGGCACACAGAGGGGCGUCAGGGAGGGGCAUGGCCAUGGCCACCCUCCUCUCAGCCCCUCCACACUGCGGAGGGAUGAGGGGACCACCCAACCUGGAGACCUCGGGGUCCUGCCUCAUGGCCAGCAUCAGCUCCUCGACGUUGAUGAGCAUGGCGCAGCAUGGGAAGCAGCAGAGGAGGAUGAUGAUGGUGGCACGCUGCAGGAUCACCCCCACGCGCAGCAGGUUCUUGCUGCCAUAGGUCUGCAGGGUGAGAGGGCAGCAGUGAAAUCAGCUGGUGCUGGGGGGAAGGGGGCCCUGAAGAGCAGCCCUGACCACCCUGGAAACCUCCUGGGAAGGAUUCGGAGCACGGAUCUCCCCGUUAUGGGAAUGUUACCUGGGGAUAAGCUUCCCCAGCUCGCAGGAGCAGCCAGGGAUCCACGUGGUGCCUGGGCACCCUCAGCUGAUGCUGGAAACCCCCCGUGUCCCCAGGACAGGAGCCAGCAUGUCCUACCCACCUGUGAUAUCAAGGUGUCACACGCUGAAGUCAAACCGUAACCUACAGAGAUGGCAGUGACAUUUAUGACCUGGGAGUUAAAAAAAACGAGGAGUGAAGCAGGGAGGGAGUGGUGCCCGGCCGGGGGAACGCUUACAGCGAUGGCCAGCGUGACAGAGGCCAGCUCAACCUUGCCCAGGUGGCCACAGAAUAUGGAGCUGACAAGGUGGAUCAGGAAGAUCAGCAGCUGGAUCAGGAUCUGAGCACGGAGAGGAGCUGAAGGUUAGGGAUGGAGGCCACCGGCACCAGAAGAGCUGUGGGGUGACAGGGAGGUGCCACACAUCUGUACGAGGCUGUGACCUCCCAGGGCCCAGACUCGGCCCGUCGCAGUCACCCAGCUGCAGGACUGCACCGACCUGUGCACAGCAGUGCAGUGAUGCAGGAGGUCUUGGCUUGCUCCACAUCCCCUGCUCCCAAGGCAUUCCCCACUCUGACACUGGCAGCCACGCUGAUGCCCAGGGGCACCUGAGAAGCAGGAGACAAGAGGAGGGGAGCUGGAGCAAUACGUACGGACACAGCCAGGGUGACAGCAUCCAGCUCGGCUUUCCCCAGGUGGCCACAGAAGAUGGAGCUGACCACGCUGAUGAGGAACCCCAGCAGCUGGGCGAAGAACUAGGAGG